This 484-nucleotide ribosomal RNA is filed under the name uncultured bacterium. RNAcentral describes it as "partial 16S ribosomal RNA". It matches the Rfam family "Bacterial small subunit ribosomal RNA", at positions 29 to 507 of the family's 1533-position model. The record is from RNAcentral.
AUUGAACGCUGGCGGCAUGCUUUACACAUGCAAGUCGAACGGCAGCGCGGGCUUCGGCCUGGCGGCGAGUGGCGAACGGGUGAGUAAUACAUCGGAACGUGCCCAGUAGUGGGGGAUAGCUCGGCGAAAGCCGGAUUAAUACCGCAUACGACCUGAGGGUGAAAGCGGGGGAUCUUCGGACCUCGCGCUAUUGGAGCAGCCGAUGGCAGAUUAGCUAGUUGGUGGGGUAAAGGCCUACCAAGGCGACGAUCUGUAGCUGGUCUGAGAGGACGACCAGCCACACUGGGACUGAGACACGGCCCAGACUCCUACGGGAGGCAGCAGUGGGGAAUUUUGGACAAUGGGCGAAAGCCUGAUCCAGCAAUGCCGCGUGUGUGAUGAAGGCCUUCGGGUUGUAAAGCACUUUUGGCGGGAACGAAAAGGACUGUGCCAAUACCACGGUUCGAUGACGGUACCCGCAGAAUAAGCACCGGCUAACUACGUG